CCCUUAGAUGUUCUGGGCUGCACGCGUGCUACACUGAUAUUGCCAAUAUGUCAUUCUUAUCCGAAAUGGAUUGGGUAAUCAAGUAAUGAAAUUUCAUGCUUGGAAUCGGUAAUUGCAAUUUUAUCGUGAACGAGGGAUUCCUAGUAAGCACUAGUCAUCAGCUAAUGUUGAUUAUGUCCCUGCCCUUUGUACACACCGCCCGUCGCUACUACUGAUUGGGUGUUCAAGUGAGAUGCUUAGACCCUUGUUGCAUGGUUCAUUAUUGUGCUCCGAAAGGAAAAAGUUUCAAGCUUGAGUGUCUAGAGGAAGUAAAAGUCGUAACA
RNAcentral lists this ribosomal RNA (323 nucleotides) under uncultured eukaryote. RNAcentral's name for it is "partial 18S ribosomal RNA". It matches the Rfam family "Eukaryotic small subunit ribosomal RNA", at positions 1470 to 1796 of the family's 1831-position model. The record is from RNAcentral.